GGGCUGGUGGUCUAGGGGUAUGAUACCUCCCUUACAAGGAGGGGAUCAGGAGUUCAAAUCUCCUUCGGCCCA
RNAcentral lists this transfer RNA (72 nucleotides) under Methanobacteriaceae archaeon. It matches the Rfam family "tRNA". Rfam says of the family: Transfer RNA (tRNA) molecules are approximately 80 nucleotides in length. Lineage: Archaea; Methanobacteriati; Methanobacteriota; Methanobacteria; Methanobacteriales; Methanobacteriaceae. The record is from Rfam by way of RNAcentral.